Molecule: transfer RNA, 73 nt
Filed under: Lachnospiraceae bacterium
Lineage: Bacteria; Bacillati; Bacillota; Clostridia; Lachnospirales; Lachnospiraceae
Description: tRNA-Pro
Rfam family: tRNA
About the family: Transfer RNA (tRNA) molecules are approximately 80 nucleotides in length. Their secondary structure includes four short double-helical elements and three loops (D, anti-codon, and T loops).
Source: RNAcentral
CCGGGUGUGGCUCAGUUGGUAGAGCGCGUGGUUUGGGACCACGAGGCCGCUGGUUCGAAUCCAGUUACUCGGA